AUUGAACGCUGGCGGCAGGCCUAACACAUGCAAGUCGAGCGGAUGAAGGGAGCUUGCGCCUGGAUUCCGCGGCGGACGGGUGAGUAAUGCCCAGGAAUCUGCCUGGUAGUGGGGGAUAACGUCCGGAAACGGGCGCUACUACCGCAUACGUCCUGAGGGUGAAAGAGGGGGAGCGUCGGACCGCACGCUAGCAGAGGGGCCUAGGUCGGGUUAGCUAGUUGGUGGGGUAAGGACCUACCAAGGCGACUAUCGGUAACUGGUCUGAGAGGAUGAGCAGUCACCCUGGAACUGGGACACGGUCCAGGCGCCUGCGGGAGGGCGCAGAGGGGAAUGUUGGACAAUGGGCGAAAGCCUGGUCCAGCCAUGCCGCGUGUGUGAAGAAGGUCUUCGGAUUGUAAGGCACUUUAAGUUGGGAGGAAGGGCAGUAAGUUAAUACCUUGCUGUUUUGACGUUACCAACAGAAUAAGCACCGGCUAACUUCGUG
RNAcentral lists this ribosomal RNA (484 nucleotides) under uncultured bacterium. RNAcentral's name for it is "partial 16S ribosomal RNA". It matches the Rfam family "Bacterial small subunit ribosomal RNA", at positions 28 to 507 of the family's 1533-position model. The record is from RNAcentral.